Molecule: ribosomal RNA, 1287 nt
Filed under: metagenome
Description: bacterial SSU rRNA
Rfam family: Bacterial small subunit ribosomal RNA
Source: RNAcentral
UAGCUAGUUGGUGAGGUAAAGGCUCACCAAGGCGACGAUCUGUAGCGGGUCUGAGAGGAUGAUCCGCCACACUGGAACUGAGACACGGUCCAGACUCCUACGGGAGGCAGCAGUGGGGAAUUUUGGACAAUGGGGGCAACCCUGAUCCAGCCAUGCCGCGUGAGUGAAGAAGGCCUUCGGGUUGUAAAGCUCUUUCGGCCGGGAAGAAAUCGUAUGGGUUAAUACCCUGUGCGGAUGACGGUACCGGCAUAAGAAGCACCGGCUAACUACGUGCCAGCAGCCGCGGUAAUACGUAGGGUGCGAGCGUUAAUCGGAAUUACUGGGCGUAAAGCGUGCGCAGGCGGUUUUGUAAGACAGGCGUGAAAUCCCCGGGCUCAACCUGGGAACUGCGCUUGUGACUGCAAGGCUAGAGUACGGCAGAGGGGGGUGGAAUUCCACGUGUAGCAGUGAAAUGCGUAGAGAUGUGGAGGAACACCAAUGGCGAAGGCAGCCCCCUGGGUCGAUACUGACGCUCAUGCACGAAAGCGUGGGUAGCAAACAGGAUUAGAUACCCUGGUAGUCCACGCCCUAAACGAUGUCAACUAGGUGUUGGGUGGGUAAAACCAUUUAGUACCGGAGCUAACGCGUGAAGUUGACCGCCUGGGGAGUACGGCCGCAAGGUUAAAACUCAAAGGAAUUGACGGGGACCCGCACAAGCGGUGGAUGAUGUGGAUUAAUUCGAUGCAACGCGAAAAACCUUACCUACCCUUGACAUGUCCAGGAGCCUGAAGAGAUUUGGGUGUGCCCGAAAGGGAACUGGAACACAGGUGCUGCAUGGCUGUCGUCAGCUCGUGUCGUGAGAUGUUGGGUUACGUCCCGCAACGAGCGCAACCCUUGUCGUUAAUUGCCAUCAUUUAGUUGGGCACUUUAACGAGACUGCCGGUGACAAACCGGAGGAAGGUGGGGAUGACGUCAAGUCCUCAUGGCCCUUAUGGGUAGGGCUUCACACGUCAUACAAUGGUCGGUACAAAGGGUCGCCAACCCGCGAGGGGGAGCCAAUCCCAGAAAGCCGAUCGUAGUCCGGAUCGUAGGCUGCAACUCGCCUGCGUGAAGUCGGAAUCGCUAGUAAUCGUGGAUCAGCAUGUCACGGUGAAUACGUUCCCGGGUCUUGUACACACCGCCCGUCACACCAUGGGAGCGGGUUCCGCCAGAAGUAGGUAGCCUAACCGCAAGGGGGGCGCUUACCACGGCGGGGUUCGUGACUGGGGUGAAGUCGUAACAAGGUAGCCGUAGGGGAACCUGCGGCUG